RNAcentral lists this ribosomal RNA (207 nucleotides) under uncultured fungus. RNAcentral describes it as "partial small subunit ribosomal RNA". The stretch from base 87 to 207 matches the Rfam family "Eukaryotic small subunit ribosomal RNA", at positions 742 to 864 of the family's 1831-position model. The record is from RNAcentral. Lineage: Eukaryota; Fungi.
GGCUCAGCGAUCGGGUCUUCCUUAACUGGUUGCACUCGAGCCGCUUUGCCUUAUCUUCUAGACACACGUCUCAGCAGACGUGCGGCUCUAGGACUUUUACUGUGAAUAAAUUAGAGUGUUUAAAGCAGGCUAACGCCUGAAUACAUUAGCAUGGAAUAAUGAAAUAGGACGAGCGAUCCUAUUUUGUUGGUUUCUAGGAUUGACGUA